UACGUAGGGUGCGAGCGUUAAUCGGAAUUACUGGGCGUAAAGCGUGCGCAGGCGGUUUUGUAAGCCAGAUGUGAAAUCCCCGGGCUUAACCUGGGAAUGGCAUUUGGGACUGCAAGGCUUGAGUGCGGCAGAGGAGACUGGAAUUCCUGGUGUAGCAGUGAAAUGCGUAGAUAUCAGGAGGAACACCGAUGGCGAAGGCAGGUCUCUGGGCUGACACUGACGCUCAUGCACGAAAACGUGGGAGCAAACAGG
This 252-nucleotide ribosomal RNA is filed under the name uncultured bacterium. RNAcentral's name for it is "partial 16S ribosomal RNA". It matches the Rfam family "Bacterial small subunit ribosomal RNA", at positions 524 to 776 of the family's 1533-position model. The record is from RNAcentral.